Molecule: ribosomal RNA, 457 nt
Filed under: uncultured Alphaproteobacteria bacterium
Lineage: Bacteria; Pseudomonadati; Pseudomonadota; Alphaproteobacteria
Description: bacterial SSU rRNA
Rfam family: Bacterial small subunit ribosomal RNA
Source: RNAcentral
UGGCUCAGAACGAACGCUGGCGGCAGGCCUAACACAUGCAAGUCGAGCGCACCUUCGGGUGAGCGGCGGACGGGUUAGUAACGCGUGGGAAUAUACCCUCCUCUACGGAAUAGCCUCGGGAAACUGAGAGUAAUACCGUAUACGCCCUUCGGGGGAAAGAUUUAUCGGAGGAGGAUUAGCCCGCGUAAGAUUAGAUAGUUGGUGGGGUAAUGGCCUACCAAGUCUACGAUCUUUAGCUGGUUUGAGAGGAUGAUCAGCAACACUGGGACUGAGACACGGCCCAGACUCCUACGGGAGGCAGCAGUGGGGAAUCUUAGACAAUGGGCGCAAGCCUGAUCUAGCCAUGCCGCGUGAGUGACGAAGGCCUUAGGGUCGUAAAGCUCUUUCGCCAGAGAUGAUAAUGACAGUAUCUGGUAAAGAAACCCCGGCUAACUCCGUGCCAGCAGCCGCGGUAAUA